RNAcentral lists this transfer RNA (72 nucleotides) under Apicomplexa sp. WK-2018_Corallicola. RNAcentral's name for it is "tRNA-Gln". It matches the Rfam family "tRNA". From Rfam's summary of the family: Transfer RNA (tRNA) molecules are approximately 80 nucleotides in length. Their secondary structure includes four short double-helical elements and three loops (D, anti-codon, and T loops). The record is from RNAcentral. Lineage: Eukaryota; Apicomplexa.
UGGGAUAUCGCCAAGUGGUAAGGCAGCGGACUUUGACUCCGUAACGCGGAGGUUCGAUUCCUUCUAUCCCAG